AACUAACGCUGGCGGCGUGCCUAACACAUGCAAGUCGUACGAGAAAGUUGGCUUCGGCCGAUGAGUAAAGUGGCGCACGGGUGAGUAAUGCGUGGAUAAUCUGCCCUUUAGUUGGGAAUAACGUACCGAAAGGUGCGCUAAUACCUGAUAAUACUGCAUAACUACUGUUGUGUAGUCAAAGAAGGCCUCUGUUUACAAGCUUUUGCUGAAGGAUGAGUCCGCGUACCAUUAGCUGGUUGGUGGGUAAUGGCCUACCAAGGCUACGAUGGUUAGCUGGUCUGAGAGGAUGAUCCGCCACACUGGGACUGAGACACGGCCCAGACUCCUACGGGAGGCAGCAGUGGGGAAUUUUGGACAAUGGGGGCAACCCUGACGCAGCAACGCCGCGUGAGUGAGGAAGGUUUUCGGACCGUAAAGCUCUGUCGAGCGGGAAGAAAUGCAUGGUGGCUAAUAUCCAUCAUGCUUGACGGUACCGCUAAAGGAAGCACCGGCUAACC
Molecule: ribosomal RNA, 497 nt
Filed under: uncultured bacterium
Lineage: Bacteria
Description: bacterial SSU rRNA
Rfam family: Bacterial small subunit ribosomal RNA
Source: RNAcentral